AACUAAMCCGACCUACCAUUUUCAACCCGGUUGCCCGGGUAGGCCUGUCGGAUACCCCGAAUUGAUUUUCGAGGCUGGACGACCGGGUNUNCCACCAACMUUAAACCCUUUUUUGAUGAUYUAGGAUUUGAAGGAAGUUCCUUUUACAAUGGAACCGACUGGUAAUGCGGYYGUUUAAAUUUAAAAAAAAAUAACUUUUGGCAACGGAUCUCUUGGUUCUCCCAUCGAUGAAGAACGCAGCGAAUUGCGAUAAGUAAUGUGAAUUGCAGAAGUGAAUCAUCGAAUCUUUGAACGCACCUUGCGCUCCCGGCAGAUCUAAUCUGGGGAGCAUGCCUGUUUGAGGGCCGCGAAUUGUUUCGAACGGACGCGUUUUUCCUUUUGCGAAAAAAGGUGGACGGAUCGGUAGUGAGGAUUUUUGCCAUUCACUGUGGCUUCCUCGAAAUGCAUGAGCGCAUCCAUUUAAUAGGCGAGACGGACGAAGGCUUGUAUUUUUCGCUCUGUUCUUUCCUGCCGGGUUUUGAUAAUAUCGAAGCUUCGGAGGUCAAAGACAGGGUUCGAGCUGGACGCAACGACUCGCUGGUUGGAGUGCUUCUAACCCCGCCCAUGCCUGCAAAGGAAGGGAUUUUAAUUCGAUUCAUCGGCCUCAGAUUGGUAGGACUACCCGCUGAACUUAAGCAUAUCAAUAAGCGGAGGAAAAGAAACUAACAAGGAUUCCCCUAGUAACGGCGAGUGAAGAGGGAAGAGCCCAAGAUUGAAAGCUGGCGUCUUCGGCGUCCGCAUUGUAAUCUCAAGAAGUGUUUUCCGCUUCGGACCAAGCCUAAGUCCCUUGGAAAAGGGCAUCAUAGAGGGUGAUAAUCCCGUACAUGGCUUGGAGCGCCCGUAGCUUUGUGAUACACUUUCUAAGAGUCGAGUUGUUUGGGAAUGCAGCUCAAAAUGGGUGGUAAAUGCCAUCUAAGGCUAAAUAUUGGGGAGAGACCGAUAGCGAACAAGUACAGUGAUGGAAAGAUGAAAAGAACUUUGAAAAGAGAGUUAAACAGUACGUGAAAUUGCCAAAAGGGAAGGGUAGGAGGUCACUGAUGCUUCCUGGGAAUUUAUUCCCAGAUUGCAGGCCAACGUCGGUUUUGGGCACUGGAGAAGGGUAGGAGGAACGUGGCACCCCUCGGGGUGUGUUAUAGCCUCUUACUGGAUACAGCGACCGAGACCGAGGACAGCAGCGUACUCGCAAGAGCGGGCCCUCGGGCACCUUUACGCUUAGGGCGUUGGCAUAAUGGCCCUCUACCACCCGUCUUGAAACACGGACCAAGGAGUCU
RNAcentral lists this ribosomal RNA (1310 nucleotides) under Sporisorium cordobense. Its description in RNAcentral is "eukaryotic LSU rRNA". The stretch from base 639 to 1310 matches the Rfam family "Eukaryotic large subunit ribosomal RNA", at positions 1 to 676 of the family's 3401-position model. The record is from RNAcentral. Lineage: Eukaryota; Fungi; Basidiomycota; Ustilaginomycetes; Ustilaginales; Ustilaginaceae.